RNAcentral lists this ribosomal RNA (481 nucleotides) under uncultured bacterium. RNAcentral describes it as "bacterial SSU rRNA". It matches the Rfam family "Bacterial small subunit ribosomal RNA", at positions 28 to 507 of the family's 1533-position model. The record is from RNAcentral.
GAUGAACGCUGGCGGCGUGCCUAACACAUGCAAGUCGAACGAGAUUCUUAAGACAGAUUCCUUCGGGAUGAAGACUUAAGUUGACAGUGGCGGACGGGCGAGUAACGCGUGAGUAACCUACCCUAUGCAGGGGGACAACAUCGGGAAACCGGUGCUAAUACCGCAUAAGACCACAGUAUCGCAUGGUACAGGGGUCAAAACUUUUGUGGCAUAGGAUGGACUCGCGUCCAAUUAGCUAGUUGGUGAGGUAAUGGCUCACAAAGGCGACGAUUGGUAGCCGAACUGAGAGGUUGAUCGGCCGCAUUGGGACUGAGACACGGCCCAGACUCCUACGGGAGGCAGCAGUGGGGAAUAUUGCGCAAUGGGGGAAACCCUGACGCAGCAACGCCGCGUGAAGGAUGAAGGCUUUCGGGUUUGUAAACUUUCUUUGAUGAGGGAAGAUAAUGACGGUACCUCAAAAACAGCCACGGCUAACUACGUG